Molecule: non-coding RNA, 119 nt
Organism: Pteropus alecto (black flying fox)
Lineage: Eukaryota; Metazoa; Chordata; Mammalia; Chiroptera; Pteropodidae
Source: Rfam
GUCUAUGGCCAUGCCACCCUGAACAAGCCCGAUCCCGUCUGAUCUCCGAAGCUAGGCAGUGUCGGGCCUGGUUAGUACUUGGAUGGGAGACCACCUAGGAAGACCAGGUGCUGUAGGCA